Molecule: ribosomal RNA, 300 nt
Filed under: uncultured Hydrogenivirga sp.
Lineage: Bacteria; Pseudomonadati; Aquificota; Aquificia; Aquificales; Aquificaceae
Description: bacterial SSU rRNA
Rfam family: Bacterial small subunit ribosomal RNA
Source: RNAcentral
GCUAAGGAAGUGGCGGGAGGGGUGGUAGAACGUAGGGGGUGGGCGGUAAACGGAAUUGCUGGGCGGAAGGGGUGCGCAGGCGGUUGUGUAAGACAGAGGUGAAAGCCCCGGGCUCAACCUGGGAACUGCCGUUGUGACUGCAAGGCUAGAGUACGGCAGAGGGGGAUGGAAUUCCGCGUGUAGCAGUGAAAUGCGUAGAUAUGCGGAGGAACACCGAUGGCGAAGGCAAUCCCCUGGGCCUGUACUGACGCUCAUGCACGAAAGCGUGGGGAGCAAACAGGAUUAGAUACCCCGGUAGUC